Molecule: non-coding RNA, 177 nt
Filed under: Clostridiales bacterium
Lineage: Bacteria; Bacillati; Bacillota; Clostridia; Eubacteriales
Description: 6S RNA
Rfam family: 6S / SsrS RNA
About the family: E. coli 6S RNA was the first non coding RNA to be sequenced, but its function was unknown until recently. It consists of 184 nucleotides that fold into an extended hairpin structure with a large single-stranded internal bulge. The 6S RNA specifically associates with RNA polymerase holoenzyme containing the sigma70 specificity factor.
Source: RNAcentral
GAAAUCCUGGAAUGUGCGACACCCCUUUUAUUUUUGAACCUACAUUGACAUCAUGGGAAUCCAACAUCGCAUGCCGGAUGUCAGGCCUCUCGUUGUGGAAGGCAGAAGGUAUGUUGAGGAUACCCACCUAGCUUAGGCUAGGCGUCAAAAGAAAGGGAACGGCAUUCUGGGACUGCU